CAGCAGUAGCCACGGUAAUACGUAGGUGGCAAGCGUUGUCCGGAAUUAUUGGGCGUAAAGGGCUCGCAGGCGGUUUCUUAAGUCUGAUGUGAAAGCCCCCGGCCCAACCGGGGAGGGUCAUUGGAAACUGGGAAACUUGAGUGCAGAAGAGGAGAGUGGAAUUCCACGUGUAGCGGUGAAAUGCGUAGAGAUGUGGAGGAACACCAGUGGCGAAGGCGACUCUCUGGUCUGUAACUGACGCUGAGGAGCGAAAGCGUGGGGAGUGAACAGGAUUAGAUACCCCUGUAGUCCCUGUCUCUUAUAC
This 304-nucleotide ribosomal RNA is filed under the name uncultured bacterium. RNAcentral describes it as "partial 16S ribosomal RNA". It matches the Rfam family "Bacterial small subunit ribosomal RNA", at positions 506 to 807 of the family's 1533-position model. The record is from RNAcentral.